This 65-nucleotide transfer RNA is filed under the name Megopis sinica. Its description in RNAcentral is "tRNA-Tyr". It matches the Rfam family "tRNA". From Rfam's summary of the family: Transfer RNA (tRNA) molecules are approximately 80 nucleotides in length. Their secondary structure includes four short double-helical elements and three loops (D, anti-codon, and T loops). RNAcentral also lists the same sequence under 1 other name. The record is from RNAcentral. Lineage: Eukaryota; Metazoa; Arthropoda; Insecta; Coleoptera; Cerambycidae.
GGUAAAGUGGCUGAGUUAGGCAGUAAAUUGUAAAUUUAUUAACGAAAUAAAUAUUUCCUUUACCA